This 73-nucleotide transfer RNA is filed under the name Omphalotus olearius VT 653.13. RNAcentral describes it as "tRNA-Arg (CCG) (tRNA-Arg-CCG-2-1)". It matches the Rfam family "tRNA". From Rfam's summary of the family: Transfer RNA (tRNA) molecules are approximately 80 nucleotides in length. Their secondary structure includes four short double-helical elements and three loops (D, anti-codon, and T loops). Further hydrogen bonds mediate the characteristic L-shaped molecular structure. tRNAs have two regions of fundamental functional importance: the anti-codon, which is responsible for specific mRNA codon recognition, and the 3' end, to which the tRNAs corresponding amino acid is attached (by aminoacyl-tRNA synthetases). tRNAs cope with the degeneracy of the genetic code in two manners: having more than one tRNA (with a specific anti-codon) for a particular amino acid; and 'wobble' base-pairing, i.e. permitting non-standard base-pairing at the 3rd anti-codon position. Lineage: Eukaryota; Fungi; Basidiomycota; Agaricomycetes; Agaricales; Omphalotaceae. The record is from RNAcentral.
GGCCGCGUAGCGUAAUGGUUAACGCGCUAGUUUCCGGAGCUAGAGAUUGCAUGUUCGAGUCCUGCCGUGGUCG